AGAGUUUGAUCCUGGCUCAGGAUGAACGCUGGCGGCGUGCCUAACACAUGCAAGUCGAACGGGCCGGUAGCAAUAUCGGUCAGUGGCGGACGGGUGAGUAACACGUAAGUAAUCUACCUUUGAGACCGGGAUAACCCACCGAAAGGUGAGCUAAUACCGGAUGUAGUCAUCGGGUUUAAAUCUUGAUGAUUAAAUGGAAUUCGCAAGAAAACCGCUCGAAGAUGAGCUUGCGGCCUAUCAGCUUGUUGGCGGGGUAAUGGCCCACCAAGGCUAUGACGGGUAGCUGGUCUGAGAGGACGACCAGUCACACUCGCACUGAGACACGGGCGAGACUCCUACGGGAGGCAGCAGUGAGGAAUAUUCCGCAAUGGGCGAAAGCCUGACGGAGCGACGUCGUGUGGGUGAUGAAGUCUUUCGGGAUGUAAAGCCCUGUUAGAGGGGAAGAUAUUGACGGUACCCUCAGAGGAAGCCCCGGCUAACUACGUGCCAGCAGCCGCGGUAAUACGUAGGGGGCAAGCGUUGUCCGGAUUUAUUGGGCGUAAAGCGCGCGUAGGCGGUGAUUUAAGUCGGAUGUUAAAGGUAGAGGCUCAACUUCUACAUCGCAUUCGAUACUAUUUCACUAGAGAGAUUCAGAGGGAAGUGGAACUUCCGGUGUAGCGGUGAAAUGCGUAGAUAUCGGAAGGAACACCAGUGGCGAAGGCGACUUCCUGGGGAUCUUCUGACGCUGAGGUGCGAAAGCUAGGGGAGCAAACGGGAUUAGAUACCCCGGUAGUCCUAGCCGUAAACUAUGGUCACUAGGUGUUUGUGGUAUCGACCCCACGAGUGCCGCAGCUAACGCGAUAAGUGACCCGCCUGGGGAGUACGGCCGCAAGGCUAAAACUCAAAAGAAUUGACGGGGGCCCGCACAAGCGGUGGAGCAUGUGGUUCAAUUCGAUGCUACGCGAAAAACCUUACCUGGGUUUGACAUCCACAUAGUAGGAGCCAGAAACGGUAACGAUCCAGUUUACUGGAAGUGUGGACAGGUGCUGCAUGGCUGUCGUCAGCUCGUGCCGUGAGGUGUUGGGUUAAGUCCCGCAACGAGCGCGACCCCUAUUGUUAGUUGCUUCCUUUUUCGGAAUGCUCUCUAACGAAACUGCCCCUGAUAAAGGGGAGGAAGGUGGGGACGACGUCAAGUCAUCAUGGCCCUUACGCCCAGGGCUACACACGUGCUACAAUGGUACGUUCAAAGGGAAGCAAAACCGCAAGGUUGAGCAAAUCCCAAAAUGCGUGCCUCAAUUCGGAUUGCAGGCUGCAAUUUGCCUGCAUGAAGCUGGAAUCGCUAGUAAACGCAGAUCAGCGUGCUGCGUUGAAUACGUUCCCGGGCCUUGUACACACCGCCCGUCACACCAUGAGAGUCGGGAAUGCCCGAAGUCGGUAAUUCAACCCGUAAGGGAGAUAGCCGCCUAAGGCAGUAUCGAUGAUUGGGGUGAAGUCGUAACCAAGGUA
This 1485-nucleotide ribosomal RNA is filed under the name metagenome. Its description in RNAcentral is "bacterial SSU rRNA". It matches the Rfam family "Bacterial small subunit ribosomal RNA". The record is from RNAcentral.